GGAUGUGAGGGCAAUCUGGCUGUGGCAUUUGUCACCCCAUUGAUCGCCAGGGUUUUCAGCUGUUCUGGCUGGCUAGGUGGGUAUCCUAUUUCUCCUUUACUGCUCCAUGUGCAUCCCUCCCAAAGCUGCACACUUGAUCAAAGAAGAUGGCCUUCCCUGAAUAGAGAUGGACUGGUCUUCGGUCAAGGGUAUACGAGUAGCUGCGCUCCCCUACUAGAACCACCAGACAAGCUCUCAAGAAGUUAUGGGGGUGCCAUGGUGGCACACCUGGUUGAGCGCACAUAUUAUAAUGUGCAAGGACCCAGAUUUGAGCCCCUGGUCCCCAUUUGCA
RNAcentral lists this small nuclear RNA (331 nucleotides) under Erinaceus europaeus (western European hedgehog). RNAcentral's name for it is "7SK RNA". The stretch from base 1 to 292 matches the Rfam family "7SK RNA". From Rfam's summary of the family: 7SK was discovered as an abundant small nuclear RNA in the mid-70s but a possible function has only recently been suggested. Two independent studies have found that 7SK RNA binds the CDK9/cyclin T complex (known as elongation factor P-TEFb). The record is from Rfam by way of RNAcentral. Lineage: Eukaryota; Metazoa; Chordata; Mammalia; Eulipotyphla; Erinaceidae.